GACGAACGCUGGCGGCGUGCUUAACACAUGCAAGUCGAACGGAAAGGCCCUGCUUUUGUGGGGUGCUCGAGUGGCGAACGGGUGAGUAACACGUGAGUAACCUGCCCUUGACUUUGGGAUAACUUCAGGAAACUGGGGCUAAUACCGGAUAGGAGCUCCUGCUGCAUGGUGGGGGUUGGAAAGUUUCGGCGGUUGGGGAUGGACUCGCGGCUUAUCAGCUUGUUGGUGGGGUAGUGGCUUACCAAGGCUUUGACGGGUAGCCGGCCUGAGAGGGUGAACGGCCACAUUGGGACUGAGAUACGGCCCAGACUCCUACGGGAGGCAGCAGUGGGGAAUAUUGCACAAUGGGCGGAAGCCUGAUGCAGCAACGCCGCGUGCGGGAUGACGGCCUUCGGGUUGUAAACCGCUUUCGCCUGUGACGAAGCGUGAGUGACGGUACUGGGUAAAGAAGCACCGGCUAACUACGUG
RNAcentral lists this ribosomal RNA (468 nucleotides) under uncultured bacterium. RNAcentral describes it as "partial 16S ribosomal RNA". It matches the Rfam family "Bacterial small subunit ribosomal RNA", at positions 28 to 507 of the family's 1533-position model. The record is from RNAcentral.